Long non-coding RNA from Clupea harengus (Atlantic herring), 1730 nucleotides. RefSeq lists it as uncharacterized. The transcript has 2 exons. Lineage: Eukaryota; Metazoa; Chordata; Actinopteri; Clupeiformes; Clupeidae. The record is from RefSeq and is a predicted model, not a curated record.
CAGUGAGCCUUAAAAAAGCACUUACUAUUUAGACUUAAUUUCACAGGAACAUGCAGCAAUGUUUAAUGUUUACAUCUGAAGGUGUAGUAAAACUAAAACAGAUUUGCAGCAAUCCUUUUGUAUUUCACUGCAGUUAUUAUUAUAAACAUUUAGAACACACUAAAUUGCACAGUACAAGUUACACAAGUUCUUUGCAUGAAAGGUCACCCGGCAGUUACCAGGCUGGUCACCAGGCACUCCUAAAAGGAUUCUAUGCAACACAAAUACGUCUUAAAAACAACCAAGAGGUGUUUCUCAGAAUAUAACCACUCUUAGUCACUGUUAUACUGGAAAAAUACGUUUUGGAUUCCUCUGCAAGGACAUUUUUUUUCUUUCUCCUACACAUUCUCCAUUUCUUGCCCCACAGUUGGGAGGUCCUGUCGGCCUCUGAAAUCGUGCUCAUCACCAGGAUUAUUGUUAUAGCUAACACAGAGCGUGCUUCCAUGGCCCCUUACAUCUGCCAACAUACACUUGGUGCACAGUUCUAAGGGAUCAUUAGGUCACGUACUUGGAAGCGUGCCCGGUUCGCUGGGAGCACCUGCUCUCUGAUGUCUCUCGGAGCAGCGCAGGGUGCACUGACCUCGGACAGCGGGAGGGGAUUCGUUGGGUCCGUGCUAAGCAAAACACUCUCUGAUAUUGUUGUAUAACUGUGAGAGUUUGUUUGAUCUGUUAAACAGACUUCAUUUAUUUAUUUCUCCUUGCAUUACUCCAGUCCAGUACUUUGUCAGCAAGUUGGUCGGGAUUCCUUUUGGAGUUGAGGUGUUAGAUGCCUCAGGCAUACCCAAGUCAGAAACUUGUUAAACAUGCUUUUACAUACACACAAAAAAGGAAUGUGUUCUUGUGAUGGUGAUUUAUGACGGGUGUUUUUUCUUUGUUUUCUCUUCUCUCCUGCCAUACUAAUUUUAAAGGCUUAAUCAAGUCAGACCUGCGGAGACAGAAGGCAAACGCAUUGGCCAAGGAAGCUGAAAACCAGAACGGAGCUGUUCGUUCUUCUGCCAUUUUGAAUGAAGUCAGGCUGUAGAGAAGAUGUGGGGGUGUCCUUCUGUUGUACUGAGGGAAAACCACAUGUGCACAAAACCAGACUUGAAGCUUUGAAAGUCAUCUCACAGCACAAAGAAACUUCAGCGGCUUAUUUUUUGUUUGUUUGUUUAACGUUUUUAUCAUCAUUACAUUACUAGCAUCUUUAGAAAUGUGUCAAACGCUCACUUGAUUUUUGUAGAAUUUUUCGGGUAAUGGUUUGUAAAUCAUCAAUUAUUAGUGCCUAGCGUUCAAAACGAUCCUUUCACAUAUUUAGAUACAUGACUUAUUUUUUCUAAUCAGACAUGUCCACAAAACACUAGCCAUAGAAAUCUCUUAUCUAGUUCUUGUCACUAUCUUCUUCAUGUUUAAGGGGUGUGGGGUUUUUUAUAUAUAUGUUUGAAAAAGAUAAAGUAUGUGUUCUGCUUAGAGUUUGAAGAAGAAAAUGUAAUUGUAUCUUACAGUGGGGUCAAUCACUGUAUUCUUUCUGUAAAGCACAUGAAUUUGAUCAUAUUUAUACCACCUCUGUGAAGUGAUUUUAAACUUUGGCACAAAUGUAUGACAAUAAUGAUAACAAGUUGAAAGUUUUAUAUGAUAGCGCUUUUUGUAAUUUGACAUUUACUGAUUUGUAUCUGUUUGCACAGAUAAAGAUGUGUAAUAAAAAAGGAAAUUAA